Apis florea (little honeybee) is the source of this 264-nucleotide long non-coding RNA. The record is from RefSeq and is a predicted model, not a curated record. Lineage: Eukaryota; Metazoa; Arthropoda; Insecta; Hymenoptera; Apidae.
UACGCCUACUCUAAGGGAAAGCAAAUGGCGUAACCUUAUCCUGGGUCAAGAAUGUUUUCACAAAAAAAUAUUGCUGACUGAAUAAGAUAAAUUGUUAACAAUAGAAUCGAAAUUAUCGAAUCGUUAUAACAGAAUUUAAAAUAUCUAAGUAAAGCAAGAAUCUCUAGACACUAGGACUCUAGAGAGAAUCCACUUGACCUAAAACACCGAGAAAGCGUGUUGGUUUGUUAACGAAUGGACAAUCAGAAUUUUUUCAUUUGGAUU